RNAcentral lists this long non-coding RNA (577 nucleotides) under Homo sapiens (human). RNAcentral's name for it is "long independently transcribed non-coding RNA 2480 (LINC02480)". Lineage: Eukaryota; Metazoa; Chordata; Mammalia; Primates; Hominidae. The record is from RNAcentral.
UCCUCUCUUCCUCCUCCUGGCUCCCAACUUGUUUCUUCUUUCUUAUGUGCCAGUUGCUGUGCUGAGGAUAUGAAGCUAAAUAAGCCUCUCUCCUUUUCCUCAUGAAGCUCAAAAGCUUAGAUAGGAAGCAAAUAAAUAUAAUAUAGCAUGAUAAUUGCAAGAAUAUUAACAUGUCCAAAAGUUAAAGAGAGAAAGCAUAAAGAAGAAAGUGAUGAGCUCUGAGGGGUUGAGGCUUUUGCUCUCUCUUAAAUUGAUUGCUAUUUAGCACCCAUCAAAAGCUCUGCAGAGGGGACCAUCAUUAACGGCAUUUACGAAGACAUCCACUUAUUCCAACAGCAGGAGGAAGACCAACGCUUCUUAUCAUAAACACAAGUUCCUGCUAUACACAACACAUCCUUGAAUUCUAGGGAAGCCAAGAUGUACAUGAAAUGACUGCAGGUCUUAAAGGUCUUGAAUCUAAUUGUGGCACUGGGGCAUAUGUAGAGAUAAAUAUCACGUAGCAUAUGCUAAGGUGAUUUCGAAGAUCUAUUCUAUCUUAAGACACUGUAAGUCUAAUUAUUAAAUGAGCAAUACAGAC